Molecule: ribosomal RNA, 468 nt
Filed under: uncultured bacterium
Lineage: Bacteria
Description: partial 16S ribosomal RNA
Rfam family: Bacterial small subunit ribosomal RNA
Source: RNAcentral
GACGAACGCUGGCGGCGUGCUUAACACAUGCAAGUCGAACGGAAAGGCCCUGCUUUUGUGGGGUGCUCGAGUGGCGAACGGGUGAGUAACACGUGAGUAACCUGCCCUUGACUUUGGGAUAACUUCAGGAAACUGGGGCUAAUACCGGAUAGGAGCUCCUGCUGCAUGGUGGGGGUUGGAAAGUUUCGGCGGUUGGGGAUGGACUCGCGGCUUAUCAGCUUGUUGGUGGGGUAGUGGCUUACCAAGGCUUUGACGGGUAGCCGGCCUGAGAGGGUGACCGGCCAAAUUGGGACUGGGAUGCGGCCCAGACUCCUCCGGGAGGCAGCGGUGGGGAAGAUUGCACAAUGGGCGGAAGCCUGAUGCAGCAACGCCGCGUGCGGGAUGACGGCCUUCGGGUUGUAAACCGCUUUCGCCUGUGACGAAGCGUGAGUGACGGUAAUGGGUAAAGAAGCACCGGCUAACUACGUG